UCUACGGGAGGCAGCAGUGGGGGAUAUUGGACAAUGGGGGAAACCCUGAUCCAGCGACGCCGCGUGAGUGAAGAAGUAUUUCGGUAUGUAAAGCUCUGUCAGCAGGGAAGAAAGAAAUGACGGUACCUGACCAAGAAGCCCCGGCUAACUACGUGCCAGCAGCCGCGGUAAGACGUAGGGGGCAAGCGUUAUCCGGAAUUACUGGGUGUAAAGGUAGCGGAGACGGUGAUGCAAGUCUGGAGUGAAAGGGGGGGGCCCAACCCCCGGACUGCUCUGGAAACUGUGUAACUGGAGUGCAGGAGGGGUAGGCGGAAUUCCUAGUGUAGCGGUGAAAUGCGUAGAUAUUAGGAGGAACACCAGUGGCGAAGGCGGCUUACUGGACUGUAACUGACGUUGAGGCUCGAAAGCGUGGGGAGCAAACAGGAUUAGAUACCCGGGUAGUC
Molecule: ribosomal RNA, 443 nt
Filed under: uncultured bacterium
Lineage: Bacteria
Description: partial 16S ribosomal RNA
Rfam family: Bacterial small subunit ribosomal RNA
Source: RNAcentral